GGAAGUUAAAGACAAUCUACAUUUUUUCCCAGUAAACUGGGACUAGGUAAAGACUGCUUUUAUUUUGGUAGAUGAAAUGUCACAAUCCAGCAAAUAGCACACCAGCAUUUCGCAGGGGCAUAGAUUGCAAGCCACAGUAAGGAAAUGCUUGGCUUUCUAACUUUGAAUGAAAAACUCAGAGCUGAUAGGAAGGCUGAUUGUCCCCAGAUGCAUGGUUAAUAAUGUGCUUCUAACAGAGCGACAUGUUCAGUUUACUGGAAGGAUAAGAAUCUCACACAAAGAACAGAGCAUCCUAUGCAUACAAUAGUAUACCUUCAACGGGGUAAUGGAUUCUUCAUGUUACCCCACAUGCCAAGUCUGCAGGAUCCCAGACGCCAAGCCUACUGUGUAACAGCUGACCAUGCCACCAAUUUCUGUGGUGUUUAUGGUAUGUUCCAGCACAUCGCACAUAAGGUAUCACGUGACUAGCUGAACGUGAUUUUAAGGGAGUGAUCUCCGAACUUUUCAUCUGCCUUAAAGAUGAUACCUCUGUGCGAAAAACACUUUAAA
Long non-coding RNA from Mandrillus leucophaeus (drill), 549 nucleotides. RefSeq lists it as uncharacterized. The record is from RefSeq and is a predicted model, not a curated record. NCBI's taxonomy places the organism in Eukaryota, Metazoa, Chordata, Mammalia, Primates, Cercopithecidae. The transcript is spliced from 2 exons.